GACUGCGCUGGUGGUCCAGUGGUUAUAGCGUCCACCUAGGAUGCAGGAGGUCGUGGGUUCAAUACCCGCCAGAGUCA
Molecule: non-coding RNA, 77 nt
Organism: Potamilus streckersoni
Lineage: Eukaryota; Metazoa; Mollusca; Bivalvia; Unionida; Unionidae
Source: the annotation of a GenBank genome assembly